GCAGAUUGGGCUGAGGGACAACCCCCCCACUGCACAAAUUUCGUGCACCGGGCCUCUAGUGGUAUAUAUAGCACUUAGCAAUAGAAGAUAUGAACUACUGUUAGAUGCAAUAUAGAUCAAUAUCAAAACAUUAUGCUGAUUUAGAGCCAGAUGCAAACUUAAACAUACUGUGUGGUCCCAUUUAUAUUAACUUCAAGAACAGACAAAACAAAUCUAUAGUGACAUAAAGCAGAUUAGUGGUUGCCUUGGGAAGACUGCAGAGGUAUUAACUUAAAAGGAGCAUGAGAGAAUUUUUUGGAGUGAUGAAAAUGUUCUAAAUCUUGAUUGGCAUGGUAGUAGCACAGGUAUGUGUUUUGCCAAAACUCACUGAAUUAUACAAGUAAAAUGUAUGCAUUUUAUUUAUGUACAGUAACUUCAAUAAAGUUGAUUUUUAAAAAUCAGAAAAUUCUAAUUAGAAAAUCAAGCAUAUUGUAUACCAUUAAAACAUGUUGGUACUGAUUAAGUCCAUGCUUUAAAAAUAGGUAUAAUUGGUAUCUUUCUAGACUUCACUCAAAUUAGGAUGGCUAAUUCAAAAUAAAGUAGGUAAAAAAUUCCAUGAGAGCACUGCCAGAGAACACUAACCAAAAGAAAGUUGCUUACCAUGUUUUGGACUGGUGUAUGGCCUUUGGUACAACAUUAAAUCCUUGUUGAAGAAGAAUAACCUAACUAAAAAAGAGCGUGCAUGCUCGAAACAGAAUAAGGCUGAACAAGCAGAAUGGAGUUCACUGGUCCUUAAGAUCAUGUAAGAAGAUCAAAGGGAGGAGCCAAAGAGAAUAUAAAGUUUCAAUGAGAAAAAAGAGAAAAACAAGGGCACUCAAUGUUGGCUCCCCACACAUGCAGAAUAUCUACGGAGAACAGUGGGCAAUCCCUAAGAAUAUGAUGAUCCCUUUUUGUGUGUCUUAGAGGUAUCACAUAAUCCCUGCUGGAAAUACACACAUCCAUGUGAAGAUCAAGGAAGUGUUAAGGAAAGCCAAAUCUGACCAUACAUUUGGGGUACAAUAGGGAAUGUGUGGGGAAGAACAAGAGAAGCCACCUUCUUUGGAGAGCUGCACAGUCUAACCAGAGGCAACCAUGGCAAUAUGGGGGAAAGUGAUAUGACAGAAAGAAUAAUCACUUUGAAAGCUCAAGCUGAUGUAGUUUUUAAGUACUGUGACAUAAUAGGCCACGAGCGUUUCAUGUUUACUUUUAGUGGAAUAGUACAACAAUAUAUAAAACUCUACCUUUGGAUUCUUGCCCUCUUUGGCCAACAAUGCCCGAAGUCUUUCUUGUGAAGGGGGGGCAAUAAAAAUAAUAUAUGGUUUCAA
This is a long non-coding RNA of Myotis lucifugus (little brown bat), 1343 nucleotides long. RefSeq lists it as uncharacterized. Lineage: Eukaryota; Metazoa; Chordata; Mammalia; Chiroptera; Vespertilionidae. The record is from RefSeq and is a predicted model, not a curated record. The transcript is spliced from 2 exons.